RNAcentral lists this ribosomal RNA (266 nucleotides) under uncultured bacterium. RNAcentral describes it as "partial 16S ribosomal RNA". It matches the Rfam family "Bacterial small subunit ribosomal RNA", at positions 793 to 1055 of the family's 1533-position model. The record is from RNAcentral.
GUCCUAGCCGUAAACGGUGCUUGCUUGCUGUAAAAGGAAUCGACCCCUUUUGUGGCGGAGUUAACACGUUAAGCAAGCCGCCUGGGAAGUACGGUCGCAAGAUUAAAACUCAAAGAAAUUGACGGGGCCUGCACAAGCGGUGGAGUAUGUGGCUUAAUUCGAUGCAACGCGAAGAACCUUACCUGGCCUUGACAUGCAUCUAGUAGAAGGGUGAAAGCCUGACGAGGUAGCAAUAUCAGGAUGCACAGGUGCUGCAUGGCUGUCGU